Molecule: ribosomal RNA, 1452 nt
Filed under: Klebsiella pneumoniae
Lineage: Bacteria; Pseudomonadati; Pseudomonadota; Gammaproteobacteria; Enterobacterales; Enterobacteriaceae
Description: 16S ribosomal RNA
Rfam family: Bacterial small subunit ribosomal RNA
Source: RNAcentral
ACACAUGCAAGUCGAGCGGUAGCACAGAGAGCUUGCUCUCGGGUGACGAGCGGCGGACGGGUGAGUAAUGUCUGGGAAACUGCCUGAUGGAGGGGGAUAACUACUGGAAACGGUAGCUAAUACCGCAUAACGUCGCAAGACCAAAGUGGGGGACCUUCGGGCCUCAUGCCAUCAGAUGUGCCCAGAUGGGAUUAGCUAGUAGGUGGGGUAACGGCUCACCUAGGCGACGAUCCCUAGCUGGUCUGAGAGGAUGACCAGCCACACUGGAACUGAGACACGGUCCAGACUCCUACGGGAGGCAGCAGUGGGGAAUAUUGCACAAUGGGCGCAAGCCUGAUGCAGCCAUGCCGCGUGUGUGAAGAAGGCCUUCGGGUUGUAAAGCACUUUCAGCGGGGAGGAAGGCGAUAAGGUUAAUAACCUUGUCGAUUGACGUUACCCGCAGAAGAAGCACCGGCUAACUCCGUGCCAGCAGCCGCGGUAAUACGGAGGGUGCAAGCGUUAAUCGGAAUUACUGGGCGUAAAGCGCACGCAGGCGGUCUGUCAAGUCGGAUGUGAAAUCCCCGGGCUCAACCUGGGAACUGCAUUCGAAACUGGCAGGCUAGAGUCUUGUAGAGGGGGGUAGAAUUCCAGGUGUAGCGGUGAAAUGCGUAGAGAUCUGGAGGAAUACCGGUGGCGAAGGCGGCCCCCUGGACAAAGACUGACGCUCAGGUGCGAAAGCGUGGGGAGCAAACAGGAUUAGAUACCCUGGUAGUCCACGCCGUAAACGAUGUCGAUUUGGAGGUUGUGCCCUUGAGGCGUGGCUUCCGGAGCUAACGCGUUAAAUCGACCGCCUGGGGAGUACGGCCGCAAGGUUAAAACUCAAAUGAAUUGACGGGGGCCCGCACAAGCGGUGGAGCAUGUGGUUUAAUUCGAUGCAACGCGAAGAACCUUACCUGGUCUUGACAUCCACAGAACUUAGCAGAGAUGGCUUGGUGCCUUCGGGAACUGUGAGACAGGUGCUGCAUGGCUGUCGUCAGCUCGUGUUGUGAAAUGUUGGGUUAAGUCCCGCAACGAGCGCAACCCUUAUCCUUUGUUGCCAGCGGUUAGGCCGGGAACUCAAAGGAGACUGCCAGUGAUAAACUGGAGGAAGGUGGGGAUGACGUCAAGUCAUCAUGGCCCUUACGACCAGGGCUACACACGUGCUACAAUGGCAUAUACAAAGAGAAGCGACCUCGCGAGAGCAAGCGGACCUCAUAAAGUAUGUCGUAGUCCGGAUUGGAGUCUGCAACUCGACUCCAUGAAGUCGGAAUCGCUAGUAAUCGUAGAUCAGAAUGCUACGGUGAAUACGUUCCCGGGCCUUGUACACACCGCCCGUCACACCAUGGGAGUGGGUUGCAAAAGAAGUAGGUAGCUUAACCUUCGGGAGGGCGCUUACCACUUUGUGAUUCAUGACUGGGGUGAAGUCGUAACAAG